This 366-nucleotide ribosomal RNA is filed under the name uncultured organism. RNAcentral's name for it is "bacterial SSU rRNA". It matches the Rfam family "Bacterial small subunit ribosomal RNA", at positions 526 to 896 of the family's 1533-position model. The record is from RNAcentral.
CGGAGGAUCCAAGCGUUAUCCGGAAUCAUUGGGUUUAAAGGGUCCGUAGGCGGUUUAGUAAGUCAGUGGUGAAAGCCCAUCGCUCAACGGUGGAACGGCCAUUGAUACUGCUAGACUUGAAUUAUUAGGAAGUAACUAGAAUAUGUAGUGUAGCAGUGAAAUGCUUAGAGAUUACAUGGAAUACCAAUUGCGAAGGCAGGUUACUACUAAUGGAUUGACGCUGAUGGACGAAAGCGUGGGUAGCGAACAGGAUUAGAUACCCUGGUAGUCCACGCCGUAAACGAUGGAUACUAGCUGUUGGGAGCAAUCUCAGUGGCUAAGCGAAAGUGAUAAGUAUCCCACCUGGGGAGUACGGGCGCAAGCCUG